AGUGAACGCUGGCGGUAGGCCUAACACAUGCAAGUCGAACGGCAGCACAGUAAGAGCUUGCUCUUACGGGUGGCGAGUGGCGGACGGGUGAGGAAUACAUCGGAAUCUACUUUUUCGUGGGGGAUAACGUAGGGAAACUUACGCUAAUACCGCAUACGACCUACGGGUGAAAGCAGGGGAUCUUCGGACCUUGCGCGAUUGAAUGAGCCGAUGUCGGAUUAGCUAGUUGGCGGGGUAAAGGCCCACCAAGGCGACGAUCCGUAGCUGGUGUGAGAGGAUGAUCAGCCACACUAGAACUGAGACACGGUCCAGACUCCUACGGGAGGCAGCAGUGGGGAAUAUUGGACAAUGGGCGCAAGCCUGAUCCAGCCAUACCGCGUGGGUGAAGAAGGACUUCGGGUUGUAAAGCCCUUUUGUUGGGAAAGAAAAGCAGCAGGUUAAUACCCCGCUGUUCUGACGGUACCCAAAGAAUAAGCACCGGCUAACUUCGUG
This 492-nucleotide ribosomal RNA is filed under the name uncultured bacterium. Its description in RNAcentral is "partial 16S ribosomal RNA". It matches the Rfam family "Bacterial small subunit ribosomal RNA", at positions 29 to 507 of the family's 1533-position model. The record is from RNAcentral.